Molecule: ribosomal RNA, 461 nt
Filed under: Pseudomonas sp. Lake-D3
Lineage: Bacteria; Pseudomonadati; Pseudomonadota; Gammaproteobacteria; Pseudomonadales; Pseudomonadaceae
Description: bacterial SSU rRNA
Rfam family: Bacterial small subunit ribosomal RNA
Source: RNAcentral
UGCAGUCGAGCGGUAGAGAGAAGCUUGCUUCUCUUGAGAGCGGCGGACGGGUGAGUAAUGCCUAGGAAUCUGCCUGGUAGUGGGGGAUAACGUUCGGAAACGGACGCUAAUACCGCAUACGUCCUACGGGAGAAAGCAGGGGACCUUCGGGCCUUGCGCUAUCAGAUGAGCCUAGGUCGGAUUAGCUAGUUGGUGAGGUAAUGGCUCACCAAGGCUACGAUCCGUAACUGGUCUGAGAGGAUGAUCAGUCACACUGGAACUGAGACACGGUCCAGACUCCUACGGGAGGCAGCAGUGGGGAAUAUUGGACAAUGGGCGAAAGCCUGAUCCAGCCAUGCCGCGUGUGUGAAGAAGGUCUUCGGAUUGUAAAGCACUUUAAGUUGGGAGGAAGGGCAGUUACCUAAUACGUGAUUGUUUUGACGUUACCGACAGAAUAAGCACCGGCUAACUCUGUGCCAGCA